UUAGGCUAUGGGGACAUGUACCCCCAAACGUGGUCCGGGAUGCUGGUGGGAGCCCUGUGUGCUCUGGCGGGGGUACUGACCAUAGCCAUGCCGGUGCCUGUCAUCGUCAACAAC
Molecule: regulatory RNA element, 114 nt
Organism: Camelus ferus (Wild Bactrian camel)
Lineage: Eukaryota; Metazoa; Chordata; Mammalia; Artiodactyla; Camelidae
Rfam family: Potassium channel RNA editing signal
About the family: This family represents a group of sequences related to the human potassium channel Kv1.1 hairpin element which directs the efficient modification of an adenosine to inosine by an adenosine deaminase acting on RNA (ADAR). The ADAR modification causes an isoleucine/valine recoding event which lies in the ion-conducting pore of the potassium channel.
Source: Rfam